This 460-nucleotide ribosomal RNA is filed under the name uncultured bacterium. RNAcentral describes it as "partial 16S ribosomal RNA". It matches the Rfam family "Bacterial small subunit ribosomal RNA", at positions 338 to 795 of the family's 1533-position model. The record is from RNAcentral.
CCUACGGGAGGCAGCAGUGAGGAAUAUUGGUCAAUGGACGCAAGUCUGAACCAGCCAAGUCGCGUGAAGGAAGACGGCCCUAUGAGUUGUAAACUGCUUUUGUACGAGGGUAAACGCAGAUACGCGUAUCUGUCUGAAAGUAUCUUAUGAAUAAGGAUCGGCUAACUCCGUGCCAGCAGCCGCGGUAAUACGGAGGAUUCGAGCGUUAUCCGGAUUUAUUGGGUUUAAAGGGUGCGUAGGCGGUCGGGUAAGUCAGAGGUGAAAUCUUGAGGCUCAACCUCGGAAUUGCAUCUGAUACUGUUCGGCUAGAGAAUAGUUGCGGUAGGCGGAAUGUGUGGUGUAGCGGUGAAAUGCUUAGAGAUCAUACAGAACCCCGAUUGCGAAGGCAGCUUACCAAGCUACGUCUGACGUUGAGGCACGAAAGCGUGGGUAGCAAACAGGAUUAGAUACCCCUGUAGUC